CAUGGAGUACAGAGAUUUUACAAAUGACAACAUAUGACAGAGAAGAGAGGUCACAGUUCUAUGGAGAGUGACACUGCAGAAAACACAGGGUUUCAGGCACAAGAUUGGAGAUACAUGAAUUCUGACAUGGUUGCAGGCACAUGGGGAUGGAGACACUGGGGCAGGCAGGGUCUACACUUACAGGUUUUGGAAACAAAUGAGAAAAUUAAGAGAACACAGAUAAAUUAGUGCUUAGAUAAAAUUUGUAUCCUUAAGUGAAUAUGUUAGGACACUGAAACUGAAGCAUCUCAGCUUCUUUCUCAAAAAUUAAAGCUGAAAAAUAUUGAAGAAUAUUUAAAUAAAAGCAGUAACAGAUGACAACAGACAUCAAUUUAAAAAGUUGGUAGUCACAAAAGUACUACAGAAAAAUAUAAAGAAAGACAUAUUUUAAAAGUUAAGAAAAUAAAUAAACCAAUAACUAAUUGCAGGAAAUUAAAACAGAAGCAGUCUUUAUAGAGCUUACAGAACUUACUAAUACUAAGGAUUUUCCUAAAUUCAUAAAACUAAAAAUUGGACUCUGGAGAUCAAAAUCUGCUACAUUUUGAAAAUCAGUUUUCCAAAAUACAAAUAUCAGAUGAACUAGAAUAAUUCCUAUAUAAUUUAAUAAGUUAAACCAAUUUUUUAAGAAGCCAAAUCAACCAAGAAACAAGUUCCACAAACAAAUUUUGGGUCCAGAUAUAUGGAAUAUUCCAAACUUUUAAGAAAGAAAAAUAAAUUAUAUGUCCCAAACAAGCUCCAAAUGGAACUAAACAGAGAAUAUAUUUAAAUUUCUUUUGGGAAGCCAGUGUUAUAUAUAUGAUGCAAAGAACCUCAGGAUAUGGAUUAAAAAUAAAAUUAAACAGCAUCUGUUUCAUAAACAGGUAAUAUCCUAAGCAAAUUAUUUUUAUAUGAAUUCAGCCAUACAGGAAAACUUGAUAGGUCAGUAACAAGCAAGAGACACUAAAAUGCGAAGAGCCUUCAACAUUCUUUUUUUUUUUUAAUUUUUUUAACAGGCAGAGUGGACAGUGAGAGAGAGAGACAGAGAGAAAGGUCUUCCUUUGCCGUUGGUUCACCCUCCAAUGGCCGCCGCGGCCAGCGCACUGUGGCCGGCGCACCGCGCUGAUCCGAUGGCAGGAGCCAGGAGCUAGGUGCUUUUCCUGGUCUCCCAUGGGGUACAGGGCCCAAGUACCUGGGCCAUCCUCCACUGCACUCCCUGGCCACAGCAGAGAGCUGGCCUGGAAGAGGGGCAACCGGGACAGAAUCCGGCGCCCCAACCGGGACUAGAACCCGGUGUGCCGGCGCUGCUAGGUGGAGGAUUAGCCUAGUGAGCCGCGGCGCUGGCCAGGAGCAUUCAACAUUCUCAAACAGACCCUGUACAACAUCCAGGUAGGUAGAAAAAGUGAGGCAAUUACAUGAUCAUUUAGAUUAAGUGUUUAAAAGCAUUUAAUAAAACUCAGUAUCCAGCAGAAAAAAAAUCAACUUCUGGAAAAAUUGCAAAAACAGUGAUUUGCUGUACAUGAUCAAGAUAGUCUAAAAUGGACCUACAACAAACUACUUAACACAGGAUCAGGGAAAGCUUUUCCCCCGGGAACAGACCCAUGUAUGCCUGCUGCCUUCUCCCCAUCUCUAAAAGGGAAAUAAAACAAAAACAAACAAGCAUCAACCUUUAAAUAAGCCAGAAACUCUGUCAAUAUACCCAGAUGACACCCAUUACAUACAGACAAUGUAAUCCCAAACUACAUACAGCUGACAAGUGAGGGUAACGAGAUCAUUGGGUAAAAUGCUAUUACCGGGCAUCCAAUAUGGGCGCUGGUUCGAGUCCUGGCUGCUCCACUUCCGAUCCAGCUCUCUGCUAUGGCCUGGGAAAGCAGUGGAAGAUGGCCCUGCACCCACAUUGGCGACGGGGAAGAAGGUCCUGGCUCCUGGCUUCAGAUUGGCCCAGCUCUGACCUUGUGGCCAUCUGGGGAGUGACCAGUGGAUGGAAGACCUCUCCCUCCCCCUCCCUCCCCUCUCCUCUCCCCUCUCUCCCUCUGCCUUUCAUUCUUUCUUUCCCUCUGCUAAUGAUCUUUAAAAACCUGUCGUUAAUAACAGCAAGAAAUAGGAAAUCAUAUUAAAGGACAAAAGACUAGAAAACAAGUAUCUAGAAGAAAAACGAAUCAAGAAGAGUCAUUAUGGGACAUCUUUAAACCUUGUUCAAAUGAACAGUACACACACCUACAACUUCCCAGAAGAGAAAUUGUUGGGGAAUAUGUAGAAACACAAGACCAGAAGUAGAUGAACCGCAGUUAGCGGUGACUCACCUGGAGCGGCUUCUGCAGCUCACGGCGAACUCUCGAAGUCCUGUGAGCCUCGCAGGACAUGGAGGUGACAGCGACCACCCAGAGCUCCGGCAACAGAGGCAGCGGCCUCAGACCCCAACAGGCCGGCACUCCCGUCUCCUGGCAACAGCUUCCCCACGUCCACUGUGCCAGCGAGCGUGCUGAUUGGCUAUGGCUUUUGUGACGCCCCGAAUGCCCAUAGGCUUGGCAACUGACCAAUCAGGGGCCCCGGUGAGUGGCUGACAACUUUUUCAUCUCCUGAGACCCCUGUGUCCUAGUCGCGUCCCCGCGGUGGCUCCCCCUUCUCUGCUCUGAGGAGAGGAAGCCGGAGACCUCGCAAGCAGGAAAUGGUCCAGAAACUGCUGAGGUAUGGAUGUAGAUGGUUAAUCAACAGGCAGUCUUGCAUUCUUGAUUCCCGAUAAAGAUGCAGGUGGAAUUUUCUUGCCAAUCACCUCCAAAAAUGGAUCCAAAUAUAUGAAUGUGGAUAUCAGAAUCCUUGAAAUAAGACACAGAAAGAUAAAUACCACACAAUCUCAUAUACACGAGGAAUCCAGGAACAUCAAACUUAAGCACAGAACAGAAUAGUGGUUACCAGGGGCUAAGAAUGAAAGAAAUAAAAUUGUAGUUUAAUGACAUGUAUUUGCAGUUAGGAGAUAAAUUGACUCCUUGAGACCUAAAACACAGCACAGUAUAUUAAAAAUGAAUACAGUGUUAGAUACCACUUGUUAAGAUCUUAAGUAUUUUUUAUAAACCAUAUAAGAUGAUUGACUUGUUAGUUUGAUUGUCCUAUCAUUAAAUAAUAUAUAUGUACAAGAGAGCACAAAAGGUUUGUUAAAAAUAGGAUAAAAUGGGAAUUUUCUAAAAACUUGAAGUCCCCUCACAAAGAGGUUUGUGAAAAAUGGGAUUGCAAGAUAAGGUGAAUUUUCUAUAAGCCUUUAAAAGUCCCCUCACAUGUCAAAACAUCAAGUCACACAACUUGAGUAUAUACAAAUUUUGAAUGUUAAUUAUACUCAAAUAUUCUUGUAAAAUUACACUAUAUUAAAUUAUUAAUUAAAAAUAAUUUAGGAAUCUAGACUUGUAUUUUUGUGAUUGGGAAGGUUACCAUGGAACAAAAAUAAUUUUUAAAGCACUCAUAAAUGUGACUGGCUUAAAUUUCUAUUUUGAAAGUUCAAAGACGAUGAUCACCUGUCAAAGUAAUGUGUAAGGGCUAAGAUGACAUCCAAGUACCACAUUACAGUGGCCUCCUGCCACUCUAACACUUUGAGAAAAACCCUGCACCAAAUAAAUCUGUUUUAAUUCACCUAGUCUGUGACACUUAUGUCAGCAACAUAAAGUGAGGUUAGACCCCAGAAAUUGCUAUGCUGAGAGGUCAAGGUCUGGGACUGAGACCCUGCUCCGACAUCUUCGGAAAACUUUGGGAAUCAGGUCACCCUAGGAAGAAAAGAGGAACCAAGCACCCCAUAAAUGACAGCCCGUCACCUGCAUGAAACCCAUUCCCGCAGCCCGGAUUCUACCUAAUGACCACCUGGUCCCCACUGCACUAUUGGGGAAGAUGCGAGGCUCCUGCCACACAGCUUCCCAGAGACAACUCCUGGGCUCCUGGGCCAAUAAGUCUCUGCCCGGAAAGGACAGGACUCCUGGAGUCAGGGUGCCAGUCCAGCCCCAACACUGUGGACAGAGGGGCUGAGGGAAGCACUGUGCUGGCAGUGAGACAGGACCACAGACUCCAGAGCCCUCAUCACCUUCCCCAUCUCUGCAAGCCCACCCUACACUCAUCUUUUCAUGGCUUCUGAGGGGUGUGCAAUCCUGUGGGGAAAGAUCUUGGAGAACAGUGUAUGAAUCUCCCAGCAGCACAGCUCCCUCCUAGGAUCUCUCUCUGCGGCAGAACUGGACAACAAUUAUGGCAUCAAGAUCCCACACAAUUAUGUAGCAUUUAUGCAUCACUCCUGAUUGGACAGUUUAGAUAGCCAUGAGCAUGUACAGUGUCAUAAAAGAUGCAACCAAUCAGCAUCCUCCACAGUGCUGACAUGCCAAAUAGGAAAAAAUAAGAGGGGAGAUCUGGGUUCAGUACCAAAACUUCAUUCUCCAGUGCUCCACCCUGCCUGCCAUGGGAGGGCUUUUCAUUCCUGGUCCUGCCUCCUGCUGGGCUCUCUCCUGUUCCCUGGUCCCUGUCACUCCGAGGAUCCUACCUGGAGGUGGCAGGACCCUACUUCAGGUAAGUGACAAUCUAAUGGAUAUUUACUGGCCUCUGAGCCUUCUUUUUCAAUUUACACAAGAUAUGUUUCUCGAGUCAUUUGUGUUUUUUUUUUAAAUAUUGAUUUAAAGAAUUUUUAAAGACAUAACAUAAUUUAAUGAUUUUUCCUUUCCCUUGCCAAUUUGUUUCUCAUUUCCAAUUGUCCUUAAAUAUUAUUUUCUGUGCUUUUUGCUGGUUGUAUGUGUGUGUGUGUGUGCAUGUGUCUUUCCAGUAAUCUCAUUUGUCAGUUGUAUUUGUUUUUAUAUUUCAUGGAUUAGCUCUGUGUAUAAACAUCACCAAUAAUUCAUACUUUCUGCUCAGAAAUUGACUUAUUUUACAGGCAGAGUAGUAGACAGCAAGAGAGACAGAAAGAAAGGUCUUCCUUCCAUUGGUUCACUCCCCAAAUUGCUGCUAUAGAUGGUGCUGCACUGAUCCAGAGCCAGGAGCCAGGAGUCAGGUGCUUCUUCCUGGUCUCCCAUGUGGGUGCAGGGACCCAAGCACUUGGACCAUCCUCCAAUGCUAUCCCUGGGCCACAGCAGAGAGCUGGACUGUAAAAGGAGCAACCAGAACUAGAAUUCAGCACCCUUAUGGGAUGCUGGCACCGCAGGUGGAGGAUUAACCAAGUAAGCCAUGGAGCCGGCCCUCAGAAACUGAAUUUUACACUUUAUAACUUCUUUUUUGCUGUUAUAUUUCAUUGACUAUUCCUGCAGUAGAAAGUUGAGGACAAUGAGCACAGGCAUAGGGGUCUAGAUUUACUUCCAGAGGAAAACAAAUUCAAUCACUCUAUAUUAGUUGUGUUUGUUGUAGAUUCAUUUCUCUGUUGAUUAUAUUAAGAAACUCGUUGGAUUUUUGUUGUAUUUUGUUUGUUACUCUGUUCUCAAUGUUUUAAUUGGGCGCUGAACUUUAUUAAAUGCUUUUAAACAUGUAACUCAAGUGAGCAUGUGAUUUUCUUCUCGUAGUUUUUUACCUGCCUGGGUGACUUUUCAGGAAAUCUUACCAACAUUUGCAUUUUUAUUAUAUAUUGUUUGCUAUUGAUUUUUUUAUAUUUGUAUAUGUGAUUUCAUUUAUUAUAUUAAUAUUUUGUUUAGGGUACUUCUAGCUCUGUUUAUGAAAGGGAUACUUUUAAGUAAAUUAAUUUUUAUUAAGUGGUCCACCUGCAUCAUUAUCAAUGUAAUGCUGAUUUUCCAAAAGAAAUUUUAAAAUAUGAUCUUCUUAUUUCCACAUUGGGUAGGUCUGGGAAACAUAGAUUUUUCUUUUCUUCCACAAAAGUUUGGAGUAUUCUGUAAGUCUGGAUCCCAAAUUCAGAUUUGUGUGACUUUCCCAUGGUUUUCUUGGAUCUUUAUAGAUUGUUUUUCACUGAGGAUUCACGUGACUUUUUUUCCCUCAUAAUUAGACCAGGUUUCUGAGUUUUUGAGGGUAGUUUUUGAUUUUUAUUGCAUCACAACAAGAAUAAGUCACUGUCAACAUGAUAUCACUGUUGAUGUUGGUAUGGAACACCUGGUGGCAGUAGUAUUUCUCAGCUUUCUCUAAUGUGAAGCUACUCUGUCCUACCUCAAGUCCUUUUCUAUACUCUUUGGAAAGGGGUCACUAUGUAUAGCCCAUGCUUAAGGAUUAGAGAGUUAGACACAUAUCAUUAAAGGUGGAAUUUAUUUGGGAUUCUUUGCCUGGAGGAAUUGUCUCCCCACUCCUUUAUUUGUGUAUUCAAUCAUUCAUUCAUGUCACUGUUGAUUCAGGAACAUUUACUUUAUACUUUGAAUAUUAUCCAAUAGUAGCGACCUUCAAAGAGUUUGCAGAAAAUACACAUUAUGAUAAAAGAAACUUAUACUUGAUUGCAAAAUUUUGAACCAAAGUAAACAUAUCUUAAUUCAACUUUCCACAAAAUUUUCAAGUCCCUAUACCAAUUCAUUUAUGUUAUUACUUUAAAUUAUUCCAGUUUUGGCCAUUGGAAAAUUUUUCAUCUGGUUCCAUUGUCAUGCCCCCUCAUGAUGGGAUCAUUUACUCAUUAGGGACACAUCUUUUAUUCUCUGGCACUGUAAGAUAUCCCAGGCUCAUAUUUGUAUAUCUCCUUGCCUGAUACUGAGACUCAGCCAUUUUUUCAAAGAGCUCUGGAUCCUUUAAUUUUAGAAUUGUUUUAGAAUUCAAGAUAUGGGCACUAUGUAUGUUCAAUGCUGCUGGGUUGUUGCUAUAUACAAACCCUGUCAGCUGUCAGAGCAAGGAAAUGUAUGUAUACUACUCUGUGUAUACAUACAUAGGAGUAUAAAUAUUCCUAUACUCUCUGUAUCUAUGUAUACAUGUAUGUAUAUUUAUAUUUAUAUGUAUAUGUAUCUAUCUAUCUUAAGCUAUGUUCUUAUUGUCUCCAACUCCAAUUCUUGACCACAGGAAUCAUUUUAGCCACCUCUCUUUGCUUUUCUGUAAACUUCUUUUCCAGAAUCUUGUUUUAAAAAUAUUCCAGUGCCAGCAUUGUGUUUCAGUGGAUUAAACUACUAGCCGUGAUGCUGGCAUCCUGUAUGAGCAUUGGUUCAAGUCCUGGCUGCUUGACUUCUGAGCCAGCUCUCUCUUAAUGCACCAUAGGAAAACAGCAGAAGAAGGGCAAAGUACUUGGACUCCUACCACCUAUGUGGGAGACCUGGAUAGAGUUCUUGGCUCCUGGCUUCAGCAUGGCCAAGUCCUGUCUAUCAUGGACAUUUGGAGAGUGGACUAUUAGAUGGAAGAUCUCUCUCUCCCUCACUGUUUCUAUAACUGCCUUUAUAAAUAUUUGAAGACUUUUACUUAACUUCAUUCUAAAAAUAUGUCUCUGUUUUCAUGUAUGCUUAUAUGUAUAUCACAGAAUACUUGGAAAUUUAAUAUAGGCUAUGGGAAGAGAUCGAAUCUCCUAUAUUUAAUCUUUUAACAUUUACACACAUGUAUACAUACACUUUUACAAACAAAACUAUGACCAAAAUAGAUAUGGUAUUUUGUAGUCUACUCAACAAUGUAUAAUGAGCUUCUCCAUUCAUGUUAACUAUUCUUUUUAAAGGUCAUAAUUUUAAUUGGCUGAACAUAUUAACCUCUCCUUUGACUACUUAAGUUUUAACAAUUUUUCUGUGAUGAGUAACUAUAGGAAACACUCUUUAUGUAAGUCAUUAUGCAUAUGUCUGAUUUUUAAGUUUAGACUGCUUUGUGUAAGUUGAAUUACUAGGCCUGAGAGUAAUUAUUGGGUCCCAGAGUAGGGACAUUUUAAGUACUGUGAUAAGUAAUGCUAAACUUCCCUAUAGAAAAGACAGCAGCAAUUUAGCUACCUACCAAAAUUGUAUAAGUCAUUUUCUUAAGAAAAUGCUUAGUAAUAAGAGGUAUUGAAAAAUUUUAAAGGAAUCACCGAGUCAUUAAAAUGUCAUCUCACUGUUGUUUUGAAUUAAAUUUGUUUUAUAAGAUGGCAGAAUAGUGAGGGCGUGCACCGAUAGCACGGGAAAAUUUAGUUUAAUAAAAGCAGAGUUAGGGUAGCCUCAGAAAAAGGAUCAGGAAAAAAUUGCAGAGGAAACUCUUCCGAAGCUAUUGGCUAUGACUCAGAGGACCUACUGGGAGAGCAGGGUCGCCCACCGUGUGGAAGCCGAACCGAGGGAGCCGCAGAGACUGAGUGCCAGUGCGGGAAGGGGAGUCGAUGUGACACAGACACCAGCAGGGAGAGGAGGGACGCCCAGGGCUCUGAGUCCACACAUCGGCGCUGGAAGCGGAGGUGAGCUCAGUAACUGGAGACAUUGGCGGGGAAACGGUGGACAGAAUUUUAGAGGGAAGCAGGCUUUGAAGUGGGAAAGUUCACCAGACUGACUACAGGAGAGAAGGAAAAAAAAUAAAUAAAUUAAAAAAAAUGUGGGGGCGUACUGGUACAGACAAGUUCCUCUCUCUGCCAACCUUGCAAAGGCGAGCAAGAGACAAAGAGCUGCGAUAUACAUAAUAAAAGGGGAGAGUUAAGGCUACAAUUCAGUAGCCUAGGCAACCCAGCGGGAGUCCGCAGAGAAAUGGAGCCUGCACAGACUCUUUGGGUAGAAGCCAGAGAUCGGAAGCUAAAUACCAUCCAUUCUGCUCAUCCUUGCAGUAUUACUUACCUCCUGAAUAAAAAAUAAAAUAAAAUAAAAUAAAAUAAUAAAUAAAUAAAUAAAGAGAGAUUUACCACGCAUAACCUGAGGGUGUCACCUUUGCACACCCUUAACCAGGAAGAACCAGGCAGAGCUCUCAGGCCACACCCAUCUCAAGACUCCAAGGCUCCUCCAACAGCAGGCAGUCCACUUAACACAGACAUAGUAUAAAAAAAAAAAAACUCACAGUGAGGGAAAAAGAAUUAACCAUGCCAAGCAAUAAACACAGAAAUUGAGGGAACAAGAUCAACGAUGACACUAUGAUGCCUCCAAAUAAACAAAACACCCCAAGCCAAGAUUAUGAAGAUGAUGAGAUAGAAGAAAUGCAAGAUACGGAUUUCAAAAAAUUUAUGAUAACAUUUAGAAGUUUUCAAAAGCAAAUCAUUGAACUACAGAAAUCCUUAUUGGACAGGAUUGAAAAUCUCUCUCGUGAAAAUGAAAUUUUAAGGAAGAAUCAAAAUGAAACGCAGAAACUAGUAGAACAAGAAAGUGUGAUAGUGAAGAGAAAUCAAAAUGAAAUGAAGAGCUAAAUUGAUCAAAUGACCAACACAUUAGAGAGCCUUAAAAACAGAAUGGGUGAAGCAGAAGAGAGAAUAUCGGAUUUAGAAGACAGAGAACAGGAAAGGAUUCCGUCAGACCAAAGAAAAGAAGAGGAAAUUAGAAAUCUAAAAAAUAUUGUUGGAAAUCUACAGGAUACUAUUUAAAAAACUAACAUUCGAGUUCUAGGAGUUCCUGAAGGCAUGGAGAGAGAGAAAGGAUUAGAAGGCCUUUUUAGUGAGAUACAAGCAGAGAACUUUCCGGGUUUGGAGAAGGACAGAGACAUCCUAGUACAGGAAGCUCAUAGAACCCCCAGUAAACUUGACCAAAAGAGAUCCUCACCACGACAUGUUGUAAUUAAACUCACCACAGUGAAACAUAAAGAAAAGAUCCUAAAAUGUGCAAGAGAGAAACGUCAGAUUACUCUCAGAGGAUCUCCAAUCAGACUCACAGCAGACUUCUCAUCAGAAACACUACAGGAUAGGAGGGAAUGGCGAGACAUAGCACAGGU
Molecule: non-coding RNA, 9729 nt
Organism: Oryctolagus cuniculus (rabbit)
Lineage: Eukaryota; Metazoa; Chordata; Mammalia; Lagomorpha; Leporidae
Source: RefSeq, a predicted model, not a curated record